Molecule: ribosomal RNA, 497 nt
Filed under: uncultured bacterium
Lineage: Bacteria
Description: partial 16S ribosomal RNA
Rfam family: Bacterial small subunit ribosomal RNA
Source: RNAcentral
GAUGAACGCUGGCGGCGUGCCUAAUACAUGCAAGUCGAGCGAACAGACGAGGAGUUUGCUCCUCUGACGUUAGCGGCGGACGGGUGAGUAACACGUGGAUAACCUACCUAUAAGACUGGGAUAACUUCGGGAAACCGGAGCUAAUACCGGAUAAUAUAUUGAACCGCAUGGUUCAUUAGUGAAAGACGGUUUUGCUGUCACUUAUAGAUGGUUCCUCGCCGCAUUAGCUAGUUGGUAAGGUAACGGCUUACCAAGGCAACGAUGCGUAGCCGACCUGAGAGGGUGAUCGGCCACACUGGAACUGAGACACGGUCCAGACUCCUACGGGAGGCAGCAGUAGGGAAUCUUCCGCAAUGGGCGAAAGCCUGACGGAGCAACGCCGCGUGAGUGAUGAAGGUCUUCGGAUCGUAAAACUCUGUUAUUAGGGAAGAACAAAUGUGUAAGUAACUAUGCACGUCUUGACGGUACCUAAUCAGAAAGCCACGGCUAACUACGUG